CCUACGGGAGGCUGCAGUGGGGAAUAUUGCACAAUGGGGGAAACCCUGAUGCAGCAACGCCGCGUGAGCGAUGAAGGCCUUCGGGUCGUAAAGCUCUGUCCUAAGGGAAGAAUACUGACGGUACCUUAGGAGGAAGCCCCGGCUAACUACGUGCCAGCAGCCGCGGUAAUACGUAGGGGGCUAGCGUUAUCCGGAAUUACUGGGCGUAAAGGGUGCGUAGGCGGCCCUUCAAGUCAGCGGGGAAAGGCUACGGCUCAACCGUAGUAAGCCGUGGAAACUGUAGGGCUUGAGUGCGGGGGAGGAGGGUGGAAUUCCCGGGGGAGGGGUGAAGUGCGUAGAUAUUGGGAGGAAGACCAGGUGGGAAGGCGGCUCUCUGGACUGUAACUGGCGCUGAGGGACGGAAGCGUGGGGAGCAAACAGGAUUAGAUACCCCAGUAGUG
Molecule: ribosomal RNA, 440 nt
Filed under: uncultured bacterium
Lineage: Bacteria
Description: bacterial SSU rRNA
Rfam family: Bacterial small subunit ribosomal RNA
Source: RNAcentral